CGAACGCUGGCGGCGUGCCUAAUACAUGCAAGUCGUGCGAGAAAGCCUGCUUCGGUAGGUAAGUAAAGCGGCGACCUGGUGAGUAACACGUGGACAAUCACCUUUGAGUUGGGGAUAAGCUUCCGAAAGGGGGGUCUAAUACCGAAUAAUAUCGCUUGAUGGCAUCAUCGGGCGAUCAAAGGCGGCGCAAGCUGUCGCUUAGAGAUGAGUCCGCGCUCCAGUUAGCCAGUUGGCGGGGUAAAAGCCCACCAAAGCUACGAUGGAUAGCCGGCCUGAGAGGGUGUACGGCCACACUGGAACUGAGAUACGGUCCAGACUCCUACGGGAGGCAGCAGUAGGGAAUAUUGCGCAAUGCCCGCAAGGGUGACGCAGUGACGCCGCGUGGGCGAUGAAGCUUUCUUGGAGUGUAAAGCCCUGUCGGGAGGGACGAAUGAUUGCAGUCGUAACUGGCUGCGAUUUGACGGUACCUUCAGAGGAAGCUCCGGCCAACUCCGUGCCAGCCGCUGC
RNAcentral lists this ribosomal RNA (507 nucleotides) under uncultured bacterium. RNAcentral describes it as "bacterial SSU rRNA". It matches the Rfam family "Bacterial small subunit ribosomal RNA", at positions 30 to 518 of the family's 1533-position model. The record is from RNAcentral.